GCUUAUACUCGACCGUCAGCGGCACGUGCGAUCGCGCGUUUCGGCGCGCGGUCACCAAGCCCUGACGAGUAGGAGGGUCGCGGCGGUGAGCGCAGAAGGGCUGGCCGCGAGGCCGUCUGGAGCCGCCGUCGGUGCAGAUCUUGGUGGUAGUAGCAAAUACUCCAGCGAGGCCCUGGAGGACUGACGUGGAGAAGGGUUUCGUGUGAACAGCCGUUGCACACGAGUCAGUCGAUCCUAAGCCCUAGGCGAAAGCCGAUGUCGAUGCGGUGUGGAUUUAUCUUUUUUACGACGACGAAGAGCGAGACAAAUGUUAAUUCGUUUCUUUAACGACGUAUAACGAGUCGAUCGAACACACCCAUCGGGCGAAAGGGAAUCCGGUUCCUAUUCCGGAACCUGGCAGCGGAACCGUCAAAAAGUCGGGC
This 422-nucleotide ribosomal RNA is filed under the name Acalles misellus. Its description in RNAcentral is "eukaryotic LSU rRNA". It matches the Rfam family "Eukaryotic large subunit ribosomal RNA", at positions 1340 to 1663 of the family's 3401-position model. Lineage: Eukaryota; Metazoa; Arthropoda; Insecta; Coleoptera; Curculionidae. RNAcentral also lists the same sequence under 1 other name. The record is from RNAcentral.